GAUGAACGCUGGCGGCGUGCCUAAUACAUGCAAGUCGAGCGAACAGAUGAGAAGCUUGCUUCUCUGAUGUUAGCGGCGGACGGGUGAGUAACACGUGGGUAACCUACCUAUAAGACUGGGAUAACUCCGGGAAACCGGGGCUAAUACCGGAUAAUAUUUUGAACCGCAUGGUUCAAUAGUGAAAGACGGUUUCGGCUGUCACUUAUAGAUGGACCCGCGCCGUAUUAGCUAGUUGGUAAGGUAACGGCUUACCAAGGCGACGAUACGUAGCCGACCUGAGAGGGUGAUCGGCCACACUGGAACUGAGGCACGGUCCGGACUCCUACGGGAGGCAGCAGUAGGGAAUCUUCCGCAAUGGGCGAAAGCCUGACGGAGCAACGCCGCGUGAGUGAUGAAGGUCUUCGGAUCGUAAAACUCUGUUGUUAGGGAAGAACAAAUUUGUUAGUAACUGAACAAGUCUUGACGGUACCUAACCAGAAAGCCACGGCUAACUACGUGCCAGCCGCCGCAGUAA
RNAcentral lists this ribosomal RNA (514 nucleotides) under uncultured bacterium. Its description in RNAcentral is "partial 16S ribosomal RNA". It matches the Rfam family "Bacterial small subunit ribosomal RNA", at positions 28 to 523 of the family's 1533-position model. The record is from RNAcentral.